UAGAAAUGGCUGUUGUGGUUAGUGGGAGAGUGUAUUAGUCUGUUCUCACACUGCUAAUAAAAACAUACCCGAGCCUGGGGAAUUUAUAAAGGAAAGAGGUGUAAUUGAUUCACAAGUCGGCAGGGCUGGGGAGGCCUCAGGAAACUUACGAUCAUAGUGGAAGGGGAAGCAAACACAUCUUUCUUCACAUGAUGGCAGGAAGGGGAAGUGCUGAGCAGAGGGUAAAGCCCUUUGUAAAACCAUCAGAUCUUGUGAGAACUCACUCACUAUCAUGAGAACAGCAUGAGGGUAACCACCCCUCUAUGAUUAAAUUACCUCCCACUGGGUCCCUCCCACAACACAUGGGGAUGAUGGGAACUGAAAUUCAAAAUGAGAUUUGGGUGGGGACAUAGUCAAACCAUAUGAGAGAGGCAGCUGAUUAGGAGAAAGGGGAAAUGGGUGGGGAGCAUGGACCGUGAGUGUUAGUGGCACCUGCAGUAAGUGACGCUCCCUGCUUUGAGCCUGUCACAGAUCUUAUUCUUGAUCUAUCACAAAGGGUUAAGGAGAGAACUGGUCUAUCUUUCAGUUGUCCUUAAUCCCAAAGAAUUAUUUUAGUAAGCCUCUAAACUAGGCUUACAGAACAAGCUUCACAGUCUCUAGGGGCAUCUAGCCAAAAGAAGUGAGGAGAUAAGAACAUGAAGUAAGGAACUUGAUCGGUCUGGGCAAUCAGUGGUGGUGACGGGGAGGCACCUUCUUGCUAUAGUAGCCAGAGAACUCAUGGGCAGGUGGCUUUUGCACUGGUAUCCAAGGGAUGGGCAGAAUUCUGGAAGGUAGAAGAUUUUCCUGGUUGGAGGGAGGCACCAGAGUCACGGGAGUGAACAAGAGACAAGGUCCCCACACUCCAGUGGGAGACAGUGAACAAAUAAACACUGCGGAGGCCACAAAAUGCCUGGAAGGAAAUAAGGAUGGGAGCACGAUGGGUGAAGGAUGGCUGCUUUUUGAUGUAGCACCAUCUGGACGCCUCCUUGGAUAAGCUCUUCUCCUGCCACGUGAGACCUGUUCUCCUUUCACCUUCGACCAUAACUGGAAGCUUCCUGAGUCCUCUCCAGAAGCAGAAGCAGAAGCAGAAGCAGAUGCCAGUGCCAUGCUUCCUGUACAGUCUGCUGAACCAUGAGUAAAUUAAAUCUCUUUAUAUAUAUAUAUAUAUAUGUUCUUCACAUGUACCCCCAAACCUAAAACUCAAUAUUUAUAUGUACAUAUAAAGGUACAUGUGAAGAACAUGCAAGAUUGUUGCAUAGGUACAUACAUGGCAUUGUGGUUUGCUGCCUUCCUCCCCAUCACCUAUAUCUGGCAGACCCCAGUGUGUGAUGCUCCCCUCCCUGUGUCCAUGUGUUCUCAUUGUUCAGCACCCGCCGAUGAGUGAGAACAUGUGGUGUUUGAUUUUCUGUUCUUGUGUCAGUUUGCUGAGAAUGAUGGUUUCCAGGUUCAUCCAUGUCCCUACAAAGGACUCGAACUCAUCAUUUUUUAUGGCUGUAUAAUAUUUCAUGGUGUAUAUGUGCCACAUCUUCCCUGUCCAGUCUAUCAUCGAUGAGCAUUUGGGUUGGUUCCAAGUCUUUGCUAUUGUAAACAGUGCUGCAAUGAACAUUUGUGUGCAUGUGUCCUUAUAAUAGAACAAUU
Long non-coding RNA from Callithrix jacchus (white-tufted-ear marmoset), 1656 nucleotides. The record is from Ensembl. Lineage: Eukaryota; Metazoa; Chordata; Mammalia; Primates; Cebidae.